Molecule: ribosomal RNA, 253 nt
Filed under: uncultured bacterium
Lineage: Bacteria
Description: partial 16S ribosomal RNA
Rfam family: Bacterial small subunit ribosomal RNA
Source: RNAcentral
GACGAAGGUGGCAAGCGUUACUCGGAAUUACUAGGCGUAAAGCGUGGGUAGGCGGUUCGGUAAGUCUGUUGUGAAAGCUCCCGGCUCAACUGGGAGAGGCCAAUGGAUACUGCCGGACUUGAAUGUGGGAGAGGUCACUGGAAUUCCUGGUGUAGCGGUGAAAUGCGUAGAGAUCAGGAGGAACACCGAUGGCGAAAGCAGGUGACUGGACCACUAUUGACGCUGAGCCACGAAAGCUAGGGGAGCAAACAGG